RNAcentral lists this long non-coding RNA (527 nucleotides) under Homo sapiens (human). RNAcentral's name for it is "HSALNT0405014". The record is from RNAcentral. Lineage: Eukaryota; Metazoa; Chordata; Mammalia; Primates; Hominidae.
AGAUAGAGUCUUAACUGUUUCAGGCAGUGACGUGAUCUUGGCUCACUGCAAGCUCCGCCUCCCGGGUUUACACCAUUUGCCUGUAGUCCCAGCUACUCAGGAGGCUGAAGUGGGAGGAUCACUUGAGCUUGGGAAGUGGAGGCUACAGUGAGCUGUGGUUGUGCCACUCUGCACUCCAGCCAGGAUGACAGCAAGACCCUGUCUCAAAAAAAAGAGAAAGAAAUAGAAGCAGGGAUAUACUUGAAGGGGUAUGUGUGUGUUCAUGUCGGUACAUUGGAUGCUUGGUGCUGCUCGGUAAUUUUGAAUGCCUCACAUGCAUUAUGCCAUUAAUUCUCAUACACCUGACAGAUGCAGGGUUCGUCCCUAAGGCUGAUUAGCUCAUUAUGAGUGAAGAGUUUAGAACCAGACUCCCUGAGUGCAAGUCUAACCUCUUCUUUGGCUCCUCAUUUGUAAAAUGGGGAUAAUAACAGCAUCUACCUCACAGACUAUUAAAUAAUCCAAUCUCUUCAAAGAUCGUAAACCAUGCC